RNAcentral lists this non-coding RNA (88 nucleotides) under Enterobacter sp. CC120223-11. Lineage: Bacteria; Pseudomonadati; Pseudomonadota; Gammaproteobacteria; Enterobacterales; Enterobacteriaceae. The record is from RNAcentral.
UUCAAUGGCGGGUCGGACGAGGGCAUCGAAAGAUGCGCUGGUAUCGGUGAGAGCCAGUAAGGUCAACCUCGUUCGAUCCGCCACCCGU